GACGAACGCUGGCGGCGUGCUUAACACAUGCAAGUCGAACGAAGAGCGACGGAAGCUUGCUUCUAUCAAUCUUAGUGGCGAACGGGUGAGUAACGCGUAAUCAACCUGCCCUUCAGAGGGGGACAACAGUUGGAAACGACUGCUAAUACCGCAUACGAUCUAACCUCGGCAUCGAGGAUAGAUGAAAGGUGGCCUCUACAUGUAAGCUAUCACUGAAGGAGGGGAUUGCGUCUGAUUAGCUAGUUGGAGGGGUAACGGCCCACCAAGGCGAUGAUCAGUAGCCGGUCUGAGAGGAUGAACGGCCACAUUGGGACUGGGACACGGCCCAGACUCCUACGGGAGGCAGCAGUGGGGAAUCUUCCGCAAUGGACGAAAGUCUGACGGAGCAACGCCGCGUGAGUGAUGACGGCCUUCGGGUUGUAAAGCUCUGUUAAUCGGGACGAAAGGCCUUCUUGCGAAUAGUGAGAAGGAUUGACGGUACCGGAAUAGAAAGCCACGGCUAACUACGUG
RNAcentral lists this ribosomal RNA (510 nucleotides) under uncultured bacterium. Its description in RNAcentral is "partial 16S ribosomal RNA". It matches the Rfam family "Bacterial small subunit ribosomal RNA", at positions 28 to 507 of the family's 1533-position model. The record is from RNAcentral.